CCUACGGGGCGCAGCAGUGAGGAAUAUUGGUCAAUGGGCGGGAGCCUGAACCAGCCAAGUCGCGUGAAGGAAGAAGGUACUUAGUAUUGUAAACUUCUUUUGUCGGGGAACAAAGGCGGAGACGCGUCUCCGGAUGAGUGUACCCGAAGAAAAAGCAUCGGCUAACUCCGUGCCAGCAGCCGCGGUAAUACGGAGGAUGCGAGCGUUAUCCGGAUUUAUUGGGUUUAAAGGGUGCGUAGGUGGUUAAUUAAGUCAGCGGUGAAAGUUUGUGGCUCAACCAUAAAAUUGCCGUUGAAACUGGUUGACUUGAGUAUAUUUGAGGUAGGCGGAAUGCGUGGUGUAGCGGUGAAAUGCAUAGAUAUCACGCAGAACUCCGAUUGCGAAGGCAGCUUACUAAACUAUAACUGACACUGAAGCACGAAAGCGUGGGGAUCAAACAGGAUUAGAUACCCUGGUAGUC
RNAcentral lists this ribosomal RNA (460 nucleotides) under uncultured bacterium. RNAcentral's name for it is "partial 16S ribosomal RNA". It matches the Rfam family "Bacterial small subunit ribosomal RNA", at positions 338 to 795 of the family's 1533-position model. The record is from RNAcentral.